Molecule: ribosomal RNA, 400 nt
Filed under: phytoplankton environmental sample
Lineage: Eukaryota
Description: partial small subunit ribosomal RNA
Rfam family: Eukaryotic small subunit ribosomal RNA
Source: RNAcentral
AGCUCCAAUAGCGUAUAUUAAAGUUGCUGCAGUUAAAAAGCUCGUAGUUGGAUCUGGGGCGAGUCUCGGCGCUCUACCCUCUUUGUGGUAGUGGUGCCUGUUUAGAUUCGGUCUACCAGCCGUGUCCGUCCCUGGUGCUCUUAGUUGAGUGUCUCGGACGAGACGGACAGUUUACUUUGAAAAAAUUAGAGUGUUCAAAGCAGGCUUCAACGCCUGAAUAUCUCAGCAUGGAAUAAUGGAAUAGGACAUCGGUUCUAUUUUGUUGGUUUUCGGAACUCGAUGUAAUGAUUAAGAGGGACAGACGGGGGCAUUCGUAUUGCGCCGCUAGAGGUGAAAUUCUUGGAUCGGCGCAAGACGAACAACUGCGAAAGCAUUUGCCAAGAAUGUUUUCAUUAAUCAA